Molecule: long non-coding RNA, 2156 nt
Organism: Micropterus salmoides (largemouth bass)
Lineage: Eukaryota; Metazoa; Chordata; Actinopteri; Centrarchiformes; Centrarchidae
Exons: 7
Source: RefSeq, a predicted model, not a curated record
AUCACAAGUGUUAUGAACCUAGAAGUGCUAUGGCAACCAGCAGCGCUUGUAGAAGCAGCAGCCGGUUGCUCCUUCAAAACUUGCCGAAACACGUGUUACCUCUAACAUAAGUACAGUCGUUGGAAGAUGAAGACGGGGUUUUUGGAUUAAACCACGGGUACGGUGAUCGCUCAGAGGAGGGUAAAGAGAGCCAGGAGAGGAGCCAUGCUGCCCCAGCUUGGAUUUAAUUCUGCUCCUAGAGUCUGGACAAAAUGGGACUCAUACUGACCAGAUAACGCUAAAUUGUUACGGGCCAAACAUUACGCUGAUCGUGCGGCCUCAUGGGAAAUCUGCCUACCAACAAGUGGCAGCAAGAGAGAAGGACACACCACAAGAAGCACCUGGAUUAUUCCCUGCAAACGCUGAUCCUGGUGAUGGCCUGCCUUGUUUGAUGUCUCGCUGUCCCUGUCCAAGGUGAAGAAGAGCGCUGCAGGCUAGUGACAUCGGACAGAAGUUUUAUUAGGUCAGAGGUCAUCAUCCGAUGUCUCAUUGACCGUCCGGGAAAAGAUGCAAGUGCCUUGAUGAAGGACUUUGAGAUGGCUACACAACAGAAGCUGACGAUGGGAGUUCUUUUUUGUGAGGGGGACAUACAAAAAAUGACCAUGACUCCUAGUCCAAAUACAGUUCAUGAUUUAAUAAACUGGUUGAAGAAAUCAGUUGAACCUGAAUACAACUUCACUUUACAGUAAAAUGGGGAAUUACAGAACAAAAAUGCGCCAGCUGGGACGGCCUGAUGUAACAGUUAAUGGAGGUAAACGUGGAAUAAACAAUGCUGAUGGUGAGCCUUCUCGCAAAAACAUAAAGAAGCCAAGAAAAGGGGAGAUCAAUUACCUUCCAGAAUUACCAGAGGGAAUGGAUGUCGCAAGGCUUGAAGCUGUUCGAGAGGCCGUGGUCAAUGAAAUGCAGAGGAAAAACCCAAAUUAUUAGACAAAACAUGGACAUCACAUUUGCCCUUAGAAGGGAGGAGGUUGUAAAGCAUGAGCCUGACAUUAGCCAGAUGGUCCAACGCUGGCCAGCGCUUUUCACUGAAAGCCAGGUUUGUGAAAGUGUCCUUUAAAUAUCUUGUCUUUUUUUGUGUUACAUACAUAACUGGACAACAUGUGCGGAGAUGUUUAUUAAUGUUAUAAGUAACUCUGCCUGAAUAUCGAAAUUGAAGUUAUUUCAUAUUUUUCAGGUCGGAUAGGCAAGCAGUUAGCUGACCUGGUACAACAGACAACAUCUCUUUGCAGAGCACUGAGCCAACAGCCAUUAGAUGUCUUGUCCUGAAAGGACUUCCAGUCAUUCUUGGGGAUGAUGCGUCUACGUUCUUUAAGAGCAGUUUGAAUAUUAAUGACAUGUGGACAUUCCCGUGGGAAUCCUCUGCAAUGAGGACACCAGCACUGCAAGCCCAGCAAGCCCAGCAUCGCAACAACUAAACCCCUCAAGAGUGGGGAUCAUCCUAGAGGGCAGCCUUGUAAUGGAAGCACUCACCAACCUACCUCAGGCAAUGUGCCUCUUGUUUGGCUUUACCUACGCACUCCACCUGCAGUACCCCAAGUGCUUAAAAACACAUUUGCUUUUAUUCAGCAGGUAAUGCUAAAUUUGGGUCGAAGUGAGCUACCUCCCAAGGUUCAAAAGCUGAAGAAUGAUCUUGCGGUGUAAGACACAUUUAUGCUCAUGACACAAUUCUUCGUGUCUGUGUUUGGAUUGUUGCACAAAUACAUUGCACUCAAUGGAGCAAAUAUUCUUGCAGUUGCUCAUUUUGUAUGUGAUACUUCUUGUACUGCAUGUGUCCAGUGUUGUUCAUUUUACUGAAAUAAUUCUACAGAGGACACAUGUCAGAAAGUUGCAGUUUUUUAACAACUCUGGUCCUCACUGCAUAGUUGUUCUUAAAGCCUGCUUUGUUGUGUGGCACACAUAGCAUACAGUUUUUCCUUUUGCACUCGCAGUAUGCUACUACAUUUUUUUUCAUACUUGAAAAUUGUUCACAGAGCAAAAAAUUACAAAACUAUGCUGUGAUUGUAUUUGGAAGGAAAUCGUUUCCUAAUUCAAUACACAUGUUCUGUUUGCUGCAUCAUAGCAAGGUACUGUAAUGUUUGUACUGCUUUGUUGCUGCUAAAUAAAAUAAAUGAAAUGUA